This 253-nucleotide ribosomal RNA is filed under the name uncultured bacterium. RNAcentral describes it as "partial 16S ribosomal RNA". It matches the Rfam family "Bacterial small subunit ribosomal RNA", at positions 524 to 776 of the family's 1533-position model. The record is from RNAcentral.
UACGUAGGGUGCAAGCGUUGUCCGGAAUUACUGGGCGUAAAGCGCGCGUAGGCGGCUUUGUAAGUUAGAGGUGAAAGCCCGGAGCUCAACUCCGGAACUGCCUUUAAAACUGCAUCGCUUGAAUCCAGGAGAGGUGAGUGGAAUUCCGAGUGUAGAGGUGAAAUUCGUAGAUAUUCGGAAGAACACCAGUGGCGAAGGCGGCGCACUGGACUGGUAUUGACGCUGAGGUGCGAAAGCGUGGGGAGCAAACAGG